RNAcentral lists this long non-coding RNA (1481 nucleotides) under Cricetulus griseus (Chinese hamster). Its description in RNAcentral is "lncRNA (ENSCGRG00015013526.2)". The record is from RNAcentral. Lineage: Eukaryota; Metazoa; Chordata; Mammalia; Rodentia; Cricetidae.
CUGGGCUGGUGAUCCUGGGUGCUGUAAGAAAGCAGACUGAAGAAGCCAGGGAGAGCAAGCUGGUAGGCAGCAUCCCUCCCUGGCUCUGCUUAGUUCCUGCCUCCAGAUUCCUGCCUUGAGUUCUUCUGACUUCCCUCAGCAAUGAACUGUCCCUUGGAAUGGGCCUCUGACAAUCCCAGGACUUGGAAAAACAUCAAAAGGGGACCAGCUGAAUCACAAAUUAUCUUCGGACCCUCCUCCAGUAAGUAACUCUGAAUCUCAUGGAGGACUUUGAUCACACUCCUGACACCGUGUGGAAGGAUGCCUGCCGAUACCAUUAUGCCUGCUUUUCUGGCUGGCACUGUUAUUGAUUCUUGCCAGCAGGAGCUACAGCAGGCUCGGGAUGUUGCUUUAGGAAGCAAAACUUCAUGUGAUGUUUGGUUAUUAAGAACCACUGCUGUGUGGGUCACCUGUGCUGGGCUUGGCUACUUCGUCCCUCUGAAGACAUCACGGUGGAGGGGAAGAGACACAAAUUCAACACAUAAGUGCCCCUCAAAUGAUCCACUCUACUGUGUGCACUGAAGUGUAUGCCUGAGCCCUUCAUCAUGUCCAUUUACUUGGGACACAGGAUUUGUUUGGUUUAUGGAAACUUCCAGGGGAAGCAGGAGGUUAGGACCGUGCAGCAUAUGAACUCUGGGAGCGCACUGUUCAGUCUGUAGUGGAGGCAUUUGGACACUCGGACUACGGAAGGAGGGACUUACUCUGUCACAUCUCAGCUGUGUGACUUUGAUCAUGUCCUUGGACUAGUCUGGCUUGCGGAAGGUGCUCCUAUUGACCUCAAAGAAGAGAGACAUGGCUUUGUGAUUAGCAAGGUGCUCCGCCCAUGGAAAAAAAAUGCAACAUGCCUUGCAUCAUUUUUGAAUGUGAACUUAGAUGACAGCAAUGUGGAAAUGGGGUGAAAUCACCAGAAAAACAGAUUUGUUGCUGCAAUAACAUUUCUUUCAAGAAAACCUGGUCCCUAGAGGUGGGCCUGGUUGCUGACAUUUGAAUACCUCCACAUUUCCAAGGAACAGAGUUCUUUUUCCCUGCGUGACUAGAAGCUUAAAACAUUACCCUCUAAUGAACACCAGAUGGUAGAUCUGGAAUGCCUGGCCUGCAAGCCUGGCCUGGAUGCCCCUUAGCUUGCUUCACUUAUACAGUACCUGGGCCAACAACUCAGCAGACUGAACAGGAGAGAGAAGCCUAGGGUUUAACCACCCUAUAUCACAAAGUACCUGUGGCUGCCAGGCGAUGCCAAUGACAUUCUCAGCCUGUGAUGUCACAGACAAAUCUUUUAGCAGAAAUGGUUGAUGGGCCACUGAGAAGCCAAUGCUUUGGCCUGCACUGUGUCCAUUCCCUUACUUGUUUCACAUCCUGCUUUCUAGAAAUAUCUAAAGAUGUCAUAUCCCUAUUUUUUACUUUUUCCUGUGGAAAAAAAAAAACCCACCAUGCUUGAAAUGCAC